This 497-nucleotide ribosomal RNA is filed under the name uncultured bacterium. RNAcentral describes it as "partial 16S ribosomal RNA". It matches the Rfam family "Bacterial small subunit ribosomal RNA", at positions 28 to 507 of the family's 1533-position model. The record is from RNAcentral.
GAUGAACGCUGGCGGCGUGCCUAAUACAUGCAAGUCGAGCGAACGGACGAGAAGCUUGCUUCUCUGAUGUUAGCGGCGGACGGGUGAGUAACACGUGGAUAACCUACCUAUAAGACUUGGAUAACUUCGGGAAACCGGAGCUAAUACCGGAUAAUAUUUUGAACCGCAUGGUUCAAAAGUGAAAGACUGUCUUGCUGUUACUUAUAGAUGGAUCCGCGCUGCAUUAGCUAGUUGGUAAGGUAACGGCUUACCAAGGCAACGAUGCAUAGCCGACCUGAGAGGGUGAUCGGCCACACUGGAACUGAGACACGGUCCAGACUCCUACGGGAGGCAGCAGUAGGGAAUCUUCCGCAAUGGGCGAAAGCCUGACGGAGCAAAGCCGCGUGAGUGAUGAAGGUAUUCGGAUCGUAAAACUCUGUUAUUAGGGAAGAACAUAUGUGUAAGUAACUGUGCACAUCUUGACGGUACCUAAUCAGAAAGCCACGGCUAACUACGUG